CAACCCGUCUCUGUUGCAAAAGAGUGGGAAGAUUUUCAAGUAGAGGUGAAAAGCCUACCGAGCUUAGAGAUAGCUGGUUGUUCAGGAAAAGAGUUUAAGCUCUACCUUAAGUCUUCACUGUUACCCCAAACACAACCCUAGACUUAAGAGCUAUUCAAAUAAGGCACAGCUUAUUUGAAACAGGGUACAACCUCCGACACUGGGUAAAUAUGGGUGCACCCAAGUAAAGUGGGCCUAAAAGCAGCCACCUUCUAAAAAGCGUUAAAGCUUAACCACAAGCCUCCCUUAAUUCCUUAAAUUAAUUUUAACCCUUAAUCACUACUGAACUAUUUUAUAUCUUUAUAAAAGUCACCAUGCUAGAACUAGUAAUAAGAAAUUGCCUUUCUCCUAAAUGUAAGCGUAGACCAAAAUGGACCUACCAUUGGUAAUUAACGUAAAUGUCUCUAUUAUAGUAACACUCAACUAGAAAACCCUAUAAGCUCUAACGUUAGCCUAACACCAGAACAUUUCAGGAAAGAUUAAAAGAGAAAGAAGGAACUCGGCAAACCUUAGCCCCGCCUGUUUACCAAAAACAUCGCCUCUUGAUUAAACAUAAGAGGUCCAGCCUGCCCGGUGACAUAGUUUAACGGCCGCGGUACCCUAACCGUGCGAAGGUAGCAUAAUCACUUGUUCUUUAAAUAGGGACUCGUAUCAACGGCAUCACGAGGGCUAUACUGUCUCCUUUCUCCAAUCAAUGAAACUGAUCUCCCCGUGAAGAAACGGGGAUUGACCUAUAAGACGAGAAGACCCCAUGGAGCUUCAAACUCAACAUACACCUCUACGCACCUAAAUCACUUUAGCCCAAGAGAUCUGUCUGUUAGUUUUGGGUUGGGGGGACCGCGGAGUAAAAAUUAACCUCCACGACAAACGGGCCUAACGCCCUUAUCCACGAACUACAACUCUAAGAAUCAAUAAACUGAUGUUUAUGACCCGAUUAUUCGAUCAACGAACCAAGUUACCCUGGGGAUAACAGCGCAAUCUA
This 1021-nucleotide ribosomal RNA is filed under the name Glandirana rugosa (Japanese wrinkled frog). Its description in RNAcentral is "Rugosa rugosa (Japanese wrinkled frog) partial 16S ribosomal RNA". It matches the Rfam family "Bacterial large subunit ribosomal RNA", at positions 776 to 2489 of the family's 2925-position model. Lineage: Eukaryota; Metazoa; Chordata; Amphibia; Anura; Ranidae. The record is from RNAcentral.